GUAAGGAAUAUUGGUCAAUGGAGGCAACUCUGAACCAGCCAUGCCGCGUGCAGGAAGACGGCCCUAUGGGUUGUAAACUGCUUUUAUACGGGAAUAAACCCCAUUACGAGUAAUGGGCUGCAUGUACCGUACGAAUAAGGAUCGGCUAACUCCGUGCCAGCAGCCGCGGUAAUACGGAGGAUCCGAGCGUUAUCCGGAAUUAUUGGGUUUAAAGGGUGCGUAGGCGGCAUGCUAAGUCAGGGGUGAAAGACGGUGGCUCAACCAUCGCAGUGCCUUUGAUACUGGUGUGCUUGAAUGUACAUGAGGUAGGCGGAAUGAGACAAGUAGCGGUGAAAUGCAUAGAUAUGUCUCAGAACACCGAUUGCGAAGGCAGCUUACUAAAGUAUGAUUGACGCUGAGGCACGAAAGCGUGGGGAUCGAACAGGAUUAGAUACCCCAGUAGUCC
RNAcentral lists this ribosomal RNA (445 nucleotides) under uncultured bacterium. Its description in RNAcentral is "bacterial SSU rRNA". It matches the Rfam family "Bacterial small subunit ribosomal RNA", at positions 354 to 796 of the family's 1533-position model. The record is from RNAcentral.